RNAcentral lists this ribosomal RNA (197 nucleotides) under Hypocreales sp. RNAcentral describes it as "partial large subunit ribosomal RNA". The record is from RNAcentral. Lineage: Eukaryota; Fungi; Ascomycota; Sordariomycetes; Hypocreales.
AAGCGCCCGAGGCCAGACUCGUGCCCGGCGGAUCAGCUGGCGUUCUCGCCAGUGCACUCCGCCGGCCCGGGCCAGCAUCGGUUUCCCGUCGGGGACAAAGGCGGUGGGAAUGUGGCUCCCUCGGGAGCGUUAUAGCCCGCCGCGUCAUGCCCUUCAGGGGACCGAGGUACGCGCUCCGCAAGGAUGCUGGCGUAAUG